CACGUAGUUAGCCGGGGCUUCUUAGUCAGGUACUGUCACUUUCUUCCCUGCUGAUAGAGCUUUACAUACCGAGAUACUUCAUCGCUCACGCGGCGUUGCUGCAUCAGGGUUUCCCCCAUUGUGCAAUAUUCCCCACUGCUGCCUCCCGUAGGAGUCUGGGCCGUGUCUCAGUCCCAAUGUGGCCGAUCACCCUCUCAGGUCGGCUACGCAUCGUCGCCUUGGUGAGCCGUUACCUCACCAACUAGCUAAUGCGCCGCGGGCCCAUCUCAUAGCGGAUUGCUCCUUUAAUUGCUACUUCAUGCGAAGCUACAAUCUUAUGUGGUAUUAAUCUCCCUUUCGGAAGGCUAUUCCCCCUCUAUGAGGCAGGUUGCCCACGUGUUACUCACCCGUCCGCCGCUAGCUUUGUUCCGAAGAACUCCACUCGCUCGACUUGCAUGUGUUAGGCACGCCGCCAGCGUUGUCCUGAGCCAGGAUCAAACUCUACG
This 485-nucleotide ribosomal RNA is filed under the name uncultured Clostridium sp. Its description in RNAcentral is "partial 16S ribosomal RNA". Lineage: Bacteria; Bacillati; Bacillota; Clostridia; Eubacteriales; Clostridiaceae. The record is from RNAcentral.